GACGAACUUUGGCGGCGUGCCUAAUACAUGCAAGUCGAGCGAGCGGAACUAACAGAUUUACUUCGGUAAUGACGUUAGGAAAGCGAGCGGCGGAUGGGUGAGUAACACGUGGGGAACCUGCCCCAUAGUCUGGGAUACCACUUGGAAACAGGUGCUAAUACCGGAUAAGAAAGCAGAUCGCAUGAUCAGCUUUUAAAAGGCGGCGUAAGCUGUCGCUAUGGGAUGGCCCCGCGGUGCAUUAGCUAGUUGGUAAGGUAAAGGCUUACCAAGGCGAUGAUGCAUAGCCGAGUUGAGAGACUGAUCGGCCACAUUGGGACUGAGACACGGCCCAAACUCCUACGGGAGGCAGCAGUAGGGAAUCUUCCACAAUGGACGCAAGUCUGAUGGAGCAACGCCGCGUGAGUGAAGAAGGUUUUCGGAUCGUAAAGCUCUGUUGUUGGUGAAGAAGGAUAGAGGCAGUAACUGGCCUUUAUUUGACGGUAAUCAACCAGAAAGUCACGGCUAACUACGUGCCAGCAGCCGCGGUAAUACGUAGGUGGCAAGCGUUGUCCGGAUUUAUUGGGCGUAAAGCAAGCGCAGGCGGAAGAAUAAGUCUGAUGUGAAAGCCCUCGGCUUAACCGAGGAACUGCAUCGGAAACUGUUUUUCUUGAGUGCAGAAGAGGAGAGUGGAACUCCAUGUGUAGCGGUGGAAUGCGUAGAUAUAUGGAAGAACACCAGUGGCGAAGGCGGCUCUCUGGUCUGCAACUGACGCUGAGGCUCGAAAGCAUGGGUAGCGAACAGGAUUAGAUACCCUGGUAGUCCAUGCCGUAAACGAUGAGUGCUAAGUGUUGGGAGGUUUCCGCCUCUCAGUGCUGCAGCUAACGCAUUAAGCACUCCGCCUGGGGAGUACGACCGCAAGGUUGAAACUCAAAGGAAUUGACGGGGGCCCGCACAAGCGGUGGAGCGUGUGGUUUAAUUCGAAGCAACGCGAAGAACCUUACCAGGUCUUGACAUCUAGUGCCAUUUGUAGAGAUACAAAGUUCCCUUCGGGGACGCUAAGACAGGUGGUGCAUGGCUGUCGUCAGCUCGUGUCGUGAGAUGUUGGGUUAAGUCCCGCAACGAGCGCAACCCUUGUUAUUAGUUGCCAGCAUUAAGUUGGGCACUCUAAUGAGACUGCCGGUGACAAACCGGAGGAAGGUGGGGAUGACGUCAAGUCAUCAUGCCCCUUAUGACCUGGGCUACACACGUGCUACAAUGGGCAGUACAACGAGAAGCGAGCCUGCGAAGGCAAGCGAAUUUCUGAAAGCUGUUCUCAGUUCGGACUGCAGUCUGCAACUCGACUGCACGAAGCUGGAAUCGCUAGUAAUCGCGGAUCAGCACGCCGCGGUGAAUACGUUCCCGGGCCU
Molecule: ribosomal RNA, 1385 nt
Filed under: uncultured bacterium
Lineage: Bacteria
Description: bacterial SSU rRNA
Rfam family: Bacterial small subunit ribosomal RNA
Source: RNAcentral